CAUGACACAACUUUGAACAUGGCGAUGCCCUGUUGAUUAUCUACAAGCUACAUUGUUGUCAUAUAGUUUGUGGUUUGAAAACGCAAAACCAAUUCAUCAGUGACAAUGUCAACGUCAAAAUCGAAGAAGCCUAAUUAUUUAGCGCAACCAGGAGGUAGCGGUCAAGGUGCCAGCACUGCCUCCAGGAAAGGAAACCUUGCUGGCUCUGUAUCAAAGAGCAAGUAUGGUGGAAAUACUGGAGUAUACGGUAGCACAAGAUCACGGUCAAAUAUCUUGUCAUCAGCAAGUCGAAAAAGUAUGGCCGCAAGGGAAGCUGAAAAAGCUUCAAUGGCAGGGAAACCUCCUGUCCAGGUGAUUGAUGAAGGUGGUAAUGAUGUGACACCUAUUCCACUGUUAAGCCAUGACCACACGACUGUGAAGAAAAACCAGAGUAACAUUUUAGAUAGCUCCGUUGGAACACCAACAGAUCUGAUGUCUCAAGCUUCCAUUUACAACACAGCCAAUGUGACUGCCAGUACAUUUGGUGGAGGCCCUUUUACAAGAUCUGUAUUUAGCCAGUCACAGGGCACGGGGACAGACUCCAUGAUGGGUGGGGAUGAUGAGAUCACAGAGCCUUCCUCAGAACAGACAGCCUGGGCAGACAUUCGACACAAACGCGAAGAGGUAAAGGAAACAUUGACAGAAGCUGACCUUGAGAAAGAGGUUGACCUCACCUUGACGGAGACUGAGACAAUAUGGCUGCUGGACCUUCCCACAAUCUGUGUCUCCACAGAGUCAGACGAGGCAGCAGGCAUCAAAAAGAGAACUGAAACGUACCAAGAGUUGAUCAGGAGCAGAGUGGGCAAUGACAGAUACAUGGAGAGAGGCAUGAACACAUUCAAUGAGCCACCCAAGUUUAAAACCAUCCAGACCAACAAAAUUGCCUAUAAUGACGUUGGUAUAACAGCCACCACGUGGGACAUGUAUGACACGUAUGACGAGCAGGAUAAAGAAAACAAAGGUUUACCCGACAAAGAGAAGAACGAUGAUGGCGGUGAGGAGGAGGGUACAAUCAGUCGGCCUACGAGUCCCAAGGACGGAGACAGUAAAGAGGAGACCGGCUCACAGACGACCAGCCAGGACAAACCUGUACUUACACGUGAAGGUAGCACCGUGAAAAUAGGUUCGGCCACAGCACAAUCAAUACAAUCAAGGGCAGAGAGCCGUGCCACCAUGUCAUCAAUGGCGGGGUCGGAGAGUAUUUUCGCCAGCAGAGAAACCGGAGUGUCCUCCAUGCCAACAGACCUUAUAGCACUUGAGGAAGACAAAAUCUUAAAGGCUGAAAAUUUCAAGAGAGAUUUAUUCAUCAUGGAGAGAGUGAUAAACCUGAACACCUACCAGCCAAAACAAGCUAGUUACAGAGGGUUUGAUAUUGUACCAGAUAUUGACAGCACCAGUGAAACUGCUAACCCUACCCAGCAGAUAAGUGUGGCCGAUAUGGGACCAAAUGUGGACAGACUAUGGGCCUAUUCCUGUCCCAUGACCAAGGGACGCAACGUCAGCUGUAUGACUUGGAACAAACUCAAUCCAGAUUUAAUCGCCAUUGGUUAUGGACAAUUUGAGUUCUCCAAUCAAAAAUCUGGCCUGAUCUGUUGUUGGUCACUCAAGAAUCCAGAGUUUCCAGAACGUGUCUAUACUUGUAAAGAAGGAGUGACUGCAAUUGACUUCUCACGGUCAAAUCCUAACUUAUUAGCGGUUGGUUUGUAUGAUGGAGGGGUCGCCAUAUACAACGUGAAGAGCACACAAGAUGAGCCCAUUGUUGAUAGCUUCCACCUCGCGGGGAAGCACACAGCACCUGUAUGGCACAUUCGAUGGAUAGAGAAGGAGCGAGGGUCAGGUGACGAGCGCACAGAGGUACUCGUUUCUAUCUCCACGGAUGGGAGAGUGACACAGUGGUCCAUCAGAAAAGGAUUCGAAAGCUACGAUUUAAUGAGGCUGAAGAGAAUGCCGACCAGGAUGGGAGGUAAAAAAGAGAAGAAGGGCGAGGCUUUCAUUUCCAGACAUGCCGGAGGUCUGUGUUUUGACUUCCAUAGCAGAGAUGCUAACAUUUACCUAGCUGGAACAGAAGAAGGCCAUAUUCACAAGUGUUCAUGUUCCUACAACGAGCAAUAUCUGGACAGCUAUACCGGUCACAAUGGUCCAGUUUACAAAAUGGAGUGGUCUCCCUUCGUCAACGAUAUUUUCCUCAGUUGCAGUGCAGAUUGGAGUAUUCGGUUAUGGCACCAAGAGAGAAAUAAACCUAUUCUUAGCUUCUUUUCCCUAAAUAAAUCAGUGUAUGACGUGACAUGGUCCCCGCGAUCUUCAACUGUGUUUGCCUGCGUCAACGAGGGGCGCGUCGAGGUGUGGGACCUCAGCCUCAGCACACUGGACCCGCAGAUCGUCAGUAACCCAUCCUCUGGGGCCAAACAGACUGCAGUGACAUUUGCCAAAAAUUCUGAGUGUAUCCUGGUGGGUGACAGUGAGGGACAGGUGACAGUGUAUGAGCUGAGAUGUAUGCCUGAACCUCCAGAGAACCAGGCCGAGGCACUUAACAAUGUCAUCAAGGCGUCACUGGCCAGUCAACUUCAGUCGGAAACAGCAGAGGCAAAAGAGGACGAGGAAGGAGCAGAUGGAGAUGAUUGAUCUUUGUUGUCCAGGUGAUCUGUGAUUGGUAGAAACAGACAGUUUGUCAUCUUAUUAGGACAUGUGACCAGCCAGUCAAUGAAAGAUAGGGCUUGAGAAGGCAAGAUACACUAAAAAGCAGUUGAAACCACACAAGGGAACAUUCCUAACUUAUAUGGAUGCUGCUUUGCUUUUAGGAUCAUCAGAGUUAAUAUUUUAAUAAAACUGUGAUAUUUGUACGGCACAUAUCAUAUACAUCCUAUUUUCUGUGAUAGCUUAAAGAUUGAAUUACCAGUACUCAAAACAUAUUCUCAUUAUUAAAAAAAAACAAUAAAAAAAUUGCCUACCAGUCUUGAAGGUAGGAAUAG
Molecule: unclassified non-coding RNA, 3008 nt
Filed under: Mizuhopecten yessoensis (Yesso scallop)
Lineage: Eukaryota; Metazoa; Mollusca; Bivalvia; Pectinida; Pectinidae
Description: wD repeat-containing protein 78-like, transcript variant X6
Source: RNAcentral